This 324-nucleotide ribosomal RNA is filed under the name uncultured bacterium. RNAcentral's name for it is "bacterial SSU rRNA". It matches the Rfam family "Bacterial small subunit ribosomal RNA", at positions 28 to 334 of the family's 1533-position model. The record is from RNAcentral.
GAUGAACGCUGGCGGCGUGCUUAACACAUGCAAGUCGAGCGAAGCGAUGAAGUGAAUUUUUUCGGAAUGAAGCUUCAUUGACUUAGCGGCGGACGGGUGAGUAACGCGUGGGUAACCUGCCUCAUACAGGGGGAUAACAGUUAGAAAUGACUGCUAAUACCGCAUAAGCGCACAGAGAUGCAUGUCUCAGUGUGAAAAGCUGAGGCGGUAUGAGAUGGACCCGCGUCUGAUUAGCUAGUUGGCGGGGUAACGGCCCACCAAGGCCUCGAUCAGUAGCCGACCUGAGAGGGUGGCCGGCCACAUUGGGACUGAGACACGGCCCAA